Molecule: long non-coding RNA, 374 nt
Filed under: Zostera marina
Lineage: Eukaryota; Viridiplantae; Streptophyta; Magnoliopsida; Alismatales; Zosteraceae
Description: long non-coding RNA (ZMAR_LNC004782)
Source: RNAcentral
UCCACGGCCAGACUCGAAGGAAAAACUACCUAAAGCAGUCACCGAUUCCACUAGUGUCUGUCGCCGAUUCCACCUUUGUGAAUCGCCGACUCCCAUAGUGAAUCACCGACUCCACUUGGUUUUUUCUCGAGCCUCUGCUCAGCUCAAAAAUCAAGAAAACCUAAGGCCAGUCGCCGACUCCACCUACUGAGUCGCCGACUCCACUGGGUUUCUUUUGAGUUAGUCCAAUCAAUACCUACGCUCCGGUUGGCAUUCGCUUUUGUCAUCCAUGACAUCUGAAAAGCGUGAUUACCAUCUGAGAAAUGAGGGUAAAUCCUCAGUGGUACCCGACGGGGCACAAAUUGAGCAUCCUCAACCAAACAUACAAGUUGAGA